UACGGAGGGUGCGAGCGUUAAUCGGAAUCACUGGGCGUAAAGCGCGCGUAGGCGGCUUUUCAAGUCAGGGGUGAAAUCCCACGGCCCAACCGUGGAACUGCCUUUGAAACUGUAGAGCUUGAGUGUCGGAGAGGGUGGCGGAAUUCCAGGUGUAGGAGUGAAAUCCGUAGAUAUCUGGAGGAACACCGGCGGCGAAGGCGGCCACCUGGACGACAACUGACGCUGAGGUGCGAAAGCGUGGGUAGCAAACAGG
RNAcentral lists this ribosomal RNA (253 nucleotides) under uncultured bacterium. RNAcentral describes it as "partial 16S ribosomal RNA". It matches the Rfam family "Bacterial small subunit ribosomal RNA", at positions 524 to 776 of the family's 1533-position model. The record is from RNAcentral.